UGCUGGUGAACAACGCCGCUGUCGCCCUGCUGCAGCCCUUCCUGGAGGUCACCAAGGAGGCCUUUGACAGAUCCUUUGAGGUGAACCUGCGUGCGGUCAUCCAGGUGUCACAGGUGAGCUGCCCUGUGGGCUGGACGGGAAUUCUCGUGAGUGAUGCCAGCUCUGCCUCACGGUCUCGCUGCAAUUCCAGAUUGUGGCCAGGGGCUUAAUAGCCCGGGGAGUCCCAGGGGCCAUCGUGAAUGUCUCCAGCCAGGGCUCCCAGCGGGCAGUAACUAACCAUAGCGUCUACUGCUCCACCAAGGGUGCCCUGGACAUGCUGACCAAGGUGAUGGCCCUAGAGCUCGGGCCCCACAAGGUGAGCAGGGCUGGGGUACCUCCCCCAACCUAGGGCACCCCACUUGCCCUGCUGACCCCAGCUGUCCCGGUGUAGAUCCGAGUGAAUGCAGUAAACCCCACAGUGGUGAUGACGCCCAUGGGCCAGGCCGCCUGGAGUGACCCCCACAAGGCCAAGACUAUGCUGGACCGAAUCCCACUUGGCAAGUUUGCUGAGGUAGAGCACGUGGUGGACGCCAUCCUCUUUCUGCUGAGUGACCGAAGUGGCAUGACCACGGGCUCCACUUUGCCGGUGGAAGGGGGCUUCUGGGCCUGCUGAGCUCCCUCCACACACCUCAAACCCCAUGCCGUGCUCAUCCUACCCCCAAUCCCUCC
This 708-nucleotide small RNA is filed under the name Pan troglodytes (chimpanzee). RNAcentral's name for it is "retained intron". Lineage: Eukaryota; Metazoa; Chordata; Mammalia; Primates; Hominidae. The record is from RNAcentral.